RNAcentral lists this long non-coding RNA (251 nucleotides) under Mytilus galloprovincialis (Mediterranean mussel). Lineage: Eukaryota; Metazoa; Mollusca; Bivalvia; Mytilida; Mytilidae. The record is from RNAcentral.
AAAUUAUAAUCCUGGUACCUUUGAUAACUAUUUACACCACUGGGUCGAUGCCACUGCUGGUGGACGUUUCGUCCCCGAGGGUAUCACCAGCCCAGUAGUCAACACUUCGGUGUUGACAUGAAUAUCAAUAAUGUGGUCAUUUUUAUAAAUUUCCUGUUUACAAAACUUUGAAUUUUUCGAAAAACUAAGGAUUUUCUUAUCCCAGGCAUAGAUUACCUUAGAUGUAUUUGGCACAACUUUUUGGAAUUUUG